Long non-coding RNA from Manihot esculenta (cassava), 851 nucleotides. RefSeq lists it as uncharacterized. The record is from RefSeq and is a predicted model, not a curated record. The transcript is spliced from 2 exons. NCBI's taxonomy places the organism in Eukaryota, Viridiplantae, Streptophyta, Magnoliopsida, Malpighiales, Euphorbiaceae.
UCCCCUCUUCUAAAAAAAAAUCUGCCGGAGUUUAAUAAAGGCGGCCAUCCCAUUCCCUAUCUUGUCUCAAUGCUCUCACAGGCAGUGAUAGAGAUACUAUGAAAAGAGAGAGUGAAAAGAGAGAAAAGAGAGGGAAGGAACAGAACAAACUAGAUUUUAUUUUGAAUUCAAUUUUGUUAUGGUUUUGCGAUAGUUUAAAGUUUGUGUUAUGUAGUUUUGUUGGAGCUUAGUCCAUGUAUCGCCGCUGUCGAUGAUGAAAGGUUGGUGAUUAUUCGGCGUCGGAACAUGAUUUGUGUUCCUGAAGGCGGCUCUAUGGCUAUGCGAGACUGGAACUGCCAUGGGCCAAUGCUUUUUGGUGGUUGCCGAUGCUGUUUUAUUGGGGCUCUGUUUUCGUUCCAUUCUCUUCUUGAUUCUCCUUGGUGGAUGUGUCAAUUGAGGUGGUUUUCCUUUACCGAAUCCGCUAGCAUAUGCUCGCUUUAUGGUGUAUUUCACCGUUGUGGCUGGCGAAGCUGAUGAUCAAUUGUCAGUGACGGGUCAGUUGAUGGUGGCGAUGGAACCUGUGUGCUAGAUAUGCGGUUUUGGAUGUGUGGUUUUGCCUGAUUUCCAGGUGGUUGUUUGGGUUGGAUUUCCAACUAGUGCUUUGGGCCAAAUUUCUGACUGUGGGCCUUGACUCUGUUUUGGGCUUUCUUAGUCGGGGUAGUUUUAAUAGGGAAGAGAUAGGAUUUGGAUGUGGGCUUCUUUGGUUUGUGGGCUUGGGCUUGGUCUAUGUUUUAUGCAACACCUCUCAAGGUGUAGACAGAGCAAGAAUUACAUGCUUUCUUAUAUAUUUCAAAACUAAACCUUUUCCUCUA